This 8110-nucleotide long non-coding RNA is filed under the name Triticum aestivum (bread wheat). RNAcentral's name for it is "long non-coding RNA (TAES_LNC023435)". The record is from RNAcentral. Lineage: Eukaryota; Viridiplantae; Streptophyta; Magnoliopsida; Poales; Poaceae.
CGCGUGGCCUGCCCUGGCCGGCCCUUCCUCUUCUCCCUCGUGGCCCACUAAGGCCCAAUAGCCCCCGGGAGGGUUCCGGUAACCCCCCGGUGUUCCGGUAAAAUCCCGAUUUCACCCGGAACCAUUCCGAACUCCAAAUAUAGGCUUCCAAUAUAUCAAUCUUUAUGUCUCGACCAUUUCGAGACUCCUCGUCAUGUCCGUGAUCACAUCCGGGACUCCGAACUUCUUCGGUACAUCAAAAUACACAAACUCAUAAUAUAACCGUCAUCGAAACCUUAAGCGUGCGGACCCUACGGUUCGAGAACAAUGUAGACAUGACCGAGACACGUCUCCGGUCAAUAACCAAUAGCGGGACCUGGAUGCCCAUAUUGGUUCCUACAUAUUCUACGAAGAUCUUUAUCGGUCAGACCGCAUAACAACAUACGUUGUUCCCUUUGUCAUCGGUAUGUUACUUGCCCGAGAUUCGAUCGUCGGUAUCCAAUACCUAGUUCAAUCUCGUUACCGGCAAGUCUCUUUACUCGUUUCGUAAUACAUCAUCUCACAGCUAACUCAUUAGUUGUAAUGCUUGCAAGGCUUCAGUGAUGUGUAUUACCGAGAGGGCCCAGAGAUACCUCUCCGACACUCGGAGUGACAAAACCUAAUCUCGAAAUACGCCAACCCAACAUCUGCCUUUGGAGACACCUGUAGUACUCCUUUAUAAUCACCCAGUUACGUUGUGACUUUGGUAGCACCCAAAGUGUUCCUCCGGUAAACGGGAGUUGCAUAAUCUCAUAGUUACAGGAACAUGUAUAUGUCAUGGAUAAAAGCAGUAGCAACAUACUAAACGAUCGUGUGCUAAGCUAAUGGAAUGGGUCAUGUCAAUCAGAUCAUUCUACUAAUGAUGUGACCUUGUUAAUCAAAUAACAACUCUUUGUUCAUGGUUAGGAAACAUAACCAUCUUUGAUUAACAAGCUAGUCUAGUAGAGGCAUACUAGUGACAUAUUGUUUGUCUAUGCAUUCACACAUGUAUCAUGUUUCCGGUUAAUACAAUUCUAGCAUGAAUGAUAAACAUUUAUCAUGAAAUAAGGAAAUAAAUAAUAACUUUAUUAUUGCCUCUAGGGCAUAUUUCCUUCAGUCUCCCACUUGCACUAGAGUCAAUAAUCUAGAUUACAUAGUAAUGAUUCUAACACCCAUGGAGUCUUGGUGUUGAUCAUGUUUUGCUCGUGGAAGAGGCUUAGUCAACGGGUCUGCUACAUUCAGAUCCGUAUGUAUCUUGCAAAUCUCUAUGUCUCCCACCUGGACUAAGUCCCGGAUGGAAUUGAAGCGUCUUUUGAUGUGCUUGGUGCUCUUGUGAAAUCUGGAUUCCUUCGCUAAGGCAAUUGCUCCAGUAUUGUCACAGAAGAUUUUCAUUGGACCCGAUGCACUAGGUAUGACACCUAGAUCGGAUAUGAACUCCUUCAUCCAGACUCCUUCAUUAGCUGCUUCCGAAGCUGCUAUGUACUCCGCUUCACAUGUAGAUCCCGCUACGACGCUUUGUUUAGAACUGCACCAACUGACAGCUCCUCCGUUUAGUGUAAAUACGUAUCCGGUUUGCGAUUUAGAAUCGUCCGGAUCAGUGUCAAAGCUUGCAUCAACGUAACCGUUUACGAUGAGCUCUUUGUCACCUCCAUAUACGAGAAACAUAUCCUUAGUCCUUUUCAGGUAUUUCAGGAUGUUCUUGACCGCUGUCCAGUGAUCCACUCCUGGAUUACUUUGGUACCUCCCUGCUAAGCUUAUAGCAAGACACACAUCAGGUCUGGUACACAGCAUUGCAUACAUGAUAGAGCCUAUGGCUGAAGCAUAGGGAACAUCUUUCAUUUUCUCUCUAUCUUCUGCAGUGGUCGGGCAUUGAGUCUUACUCAACUUCACACCUUGUAACACAGGCAAGAACCCUUUCUUUGCUUGAUCCAUUUUGAACUUCUUCAAAAUUUUGUCAAGGUAUGUGCUUUGUGAAAGUCCAAUUAAGCGUCUUGAUCUAUCUCUAUAGAUUUUGAUGCCCAAUAUGUAAGCAGCUUCACCGAGGUCUUUCAUUGAAAAACUCUCAUUCAAGUAUCCCUUUAUGCUAUCCAGAAAUUCUAUAUCAUUUCCGAUCAGUAAUAUGUCAUCUACAUAUAAUAUCAGAAAUGCUACAGAGCUCCCACUCACUUUCUUGUAAAUACAGGCUUCCCCAAAAGUCUGUAUAAACCCAAAUGCUUUGAUCACACUAUCAAAGCGUUUAUUCCAACUCCGAGAUGCUUGCACCAGUCCAUAGAUGGAUCGCUGGAGCUUGCAUACUUUGUUAGCUCCCUUUGGAUCGAUAAAACCUUCUGGUUGCAUCAUAUACAACUCUUCUUCCAGAAAUCCAUUCAGGAAUGCAGUCUUUACAUCCAUUUGCCAAAUUUCAUAAUCAUAAAAUGCGGCAAUUGCUAACAUGAUUCGGACAGACUUAAGCAUCGCUACGGGUGAGAAGGUCUCAUCGUAGUCAAUCCCUUGAACUUGUCGAAAACCCUUUGCGACAAGUCGAGCUUUGUAGACAGUAACAUUACCGUCAGCGUCAGUCUUCUUCUUGAAGAUCCACUUGUUUUCUAUUGCUUGCCGACCCUCGGGCAAGUCAACCAAAGUUCAUACUUUGUUUUCAUACAUGGAUCUCAUCUCAGAUUUCAUGGCCUCAAGCCAUUUUGCGGAAUCUGGGCUCACCAUCGCUUCUUCAUAGUUCGCAGGUUCAUCAUGAUCUAGUAGCAUGAUUUCCAGAACAGGAUUACCGUACCACUCUGGUGCGGAUCUUACUCUGGUUGAUCUACGAGGUUCUGUAGUAACUUGAUCUGAAGUUUCAUGAUCAACAUCAUCAACUUCCUCACUAUUUGGUGUAGAUGUCUUAGAAACCGGUUUCUGCGACAAACUACUUUCAAGUAAGGGAGAAGGUACAAUUACCUCAUCAAGUUCUACUUUCCUCCCACUCACUUCUUUCGAGAGAAACUCCUUCUCUAGAAAGGAUCCAUUCUUGGCAACAAAUGUCUUGCCUUCGGAUCUGUGAUAGAAGGUGUACCCAACUGUCUCCUUUGGGUAUCCUAUGAAGACACAUUUCUCCGAUUUGGGUUCGAGCUUAUCAGGUUGAAGCUUUUUCACAUAAGCAUCGCAUCCCCAAACUUUAAGAAACGACAACUUUGGUUUCUUGCUAAACCAUAGUUCAUAAGGUGUCGUCUCAACGGAUUUUGACGGUGUUCUAUUCAGUGUGAAUGCGGCCGUCUCUAGAGCAUAACUCCAAAACGAUAGCGGUAAAUCUGUAAGAGACAUCAUAGAUCGUACCAUAUCUAGUAAAGUACGAUUACGACGUUCGGACACACCAUUACGUUGUGGUGUUCCGGGUGGCGUGAGUUGCGAAACUAUUCCGCAUUGUUUCAAAUAUAGACCAAACUCGUAACUCAAAUAUUCACCUCCACGAUCAGAUCGUAGAAAUUUAAUUUUCUUAUUAUGAUGAUUUUCAACUUCACUCUGAAAUUCUUUGAACUUUUCAAAUGUUUCAGACUUAUGUUUCAUUAAGUAGAUAUACCCAUAUCUGCUUAAGUCAUCUGUGAAGGUGAGAAAAUAACGAUAUCCGCCACGAGCCUCAACAUUCAUCGGACCACAUACAUCUGUAUGUAUGAUUUCCAACAAAUCUGUUGCUCUCUCCAUAGUACCGGAGAACGGGGUUCUAGUCAUCUUGCCCAUGAGGCACGGUUCGCAAGUGCCAAGUGAUUCAUAAUCAAGUGACUCCAAAAGUCCAUCAGUAUGGAGUUUCUUCAUGCGCUUUACACCGAUAUGACCUAAACGGCAGUGCCACAAAUAAGUUGCACUAUCAUUAUCAACUCUGCAUCUUUUGGUUUCAACAUUAUGAAUAUGUGUAUCACUACUAUCGAGAUUCAUCAAAAAUAGACCACUCUUCAAGGGUGCAUGACCAUAAAAGAUAUUACUCAUAUAAAUAGAACAACCAUUAUUCUCUGAUUUAAAUGAAUAACCGUCUCGCAUCAAACAAGAUCCAGAUAUAAUGUUCAUGCUCAACGCAGGCACCAAAUAACAAUUAUUUAGGUCUAAAACUAAUCCCGAAGGUAGAUGUAGAGGUAGCGUGCCGACUGCGAUCACAUCGACUUUGGAACCAUUUCCCACGCGCAUCGUCACCUCGUCCUUUGCCAGUGUUCGCUUAAUCCGUAGUCCCUGUUUCGAGUUGCAAAUAUUAGCAACAGAACCAGUAUCAAAUACCCAGGUGCUACUGCGAGCUCUAGUAAGGUACACAUCAAUAACAUGUAUAUCACAUAUACCUUUGUUCACCUUGCCAUCCUUCUUAUCCGCCAAAUACUUGGGGCAGUUCCGCUUCCAGUGACCAGUCUGCUUGCAGUAGAAGCACUCAGUUUCAGGCUUAGGUCCAGACUUGGGUUUCUUCUCCUGAGCAGCAACUUGCCUGUUGUUCUUCUUGAAGUUCCCCUUCUUCUUCCCUUUGCCUUUCUUCUUGAAACUAGUGGUCUUAUUGACCAUCAACACUUGAUGCUCCUUCUUGAUUUCUACCUCCGCAGCCUUUAGCAUUGCGAAGAGCUCAGGUAUAGUCUUUACUAACCCUUGCAUAUUAUAGUUCAUCACGAAGCCUUUGUAGCUUGGUGGCAGUGAUUGAAGAAUUCUGUCAAUGACACAAUCAUCCGGAAGAUUAACUCCCAAUUGUGUCAAGUGAUUGUAGUACCCAGACAUUCUGAGUAUGUGAUCACUAACAGAACUAUUCUCCUCCAUCUUGCAGCUAUAGAACUUAUUGGAGACUUCAUAUCUCUCAAUCCGGGCAUUCUGUUGGAAUAUUAACUUCAACUCCUGGAACAUCUCAUAUGCUCCAUGACGUUCAAAACGUCGUUGAAGUCCCGGUUCUAAGCCGUAAAGCAUGGCACACUGAACUAUAGAGUAGUCAUCAGCUUUGCUUUGCCAGACGUUCAUAACAUCUGGUGUUGCUCCUGCAGCAGGCCUGGCACCUAGCGGUGCAUCCAGGACGUAACUCUUCUGUGCAGCAAUGAGGAUAAUCCUCAGGUUACGGACCCAGUCCGUGUAGUUGCUACCAUCAUCUUUCAACUUUGCUUUCUCAAGGAACGCAUUAAAAUUCAACGGAACAACAGCACGAGCCAUCUAUCUACAUAGACAAGCAAGAUACUAUCAGGUACUAAGUUCAUGAUAAAUUUAAGUUCAAUUAAUCAUAUUACUUAAGAACUCCCACUUAGACAGACAUCUCUCUAGUCAUCUAAGUGAUCACGUGAUCCAAAUCAACUAAACCAUAACCGAUCAUCACGUGAAAUGGAGUAGUUUUCAAUGGUGAACAUCUUAUGUUGAUCAUAUCUACUAUAUGAUUCACGCUCGACCUUUCGGUCUCCGUGUUCCGAGGCCAUAUCUGCAUAUGCUAGGCUCGUCAAGUAUAACCUGAGUAUUCUGCGUGUGCAAAACUGGCUUGCACCCGUUGUAGAUGGACGUAGAGCUUAUCACACCCGAUCAUCACGUGGUGUCUGGGCACGACGAACUUUGGCAACGGUGCAUACUCAGGGAGAACACUUCUUGAUAAUUUAGUGAGAGAUCAUCUUAUAAUGCUACCGUCACCCAAAGCAAGAUAAGAUGCAUAAAAGAUAAACAUCACAUGCAAAUCAAUAUAAGUGAUAUGAUAUGGUCAUCAUCAUCUUGUGCUUCGUGAUCUCCAUCUCUGCAGCACCACCAUGAUCACCAUCGUCACCGGCGCGACACCUUGAUCUCCAUCGCAGCAUCGUUGUCGUCUCGCCAAUCUUAUGCUUCUACGACUAUCGCUACCGCUUAGUGAUAAAGUAAAGCAUUACAGGGCGAUUGCAUUUCAUACAAUAAAGCGACAACCAUAUGGCUCCUGCCAGUUGCCGAUAACUUCGGUUACAAAACAUGAUCAUCUCAUACAAUAAAAUAUAGCAUCACGUCUUGACCAUAUCACAUCACAACAUGCCCUGCAAAAACAAGUUAGACGUCCUCUACUUUGUUGUUGCAAAUUUUACGUGGCUGCUACGGGCUUAAGCAAGAACCAAUCUCACCUACGCAUCAAAACCACAACGAUACUUCGUCAAAUAGACUCCGUUUUAACCUUCUCAAGGACCGGGCGUAGCCACACUCGGUUCAACUAAAGUGAGAGAGACAGACACCCGCCACUCACCUUUAAGCAACGAGUGCUCGUAACGGUGAAACCAGUCUCGCGUAAGCGUACGCGUAAUGUCGGUCCGGGCCGCUUCAUCUCACAAUACCGCUGAACCAAAGUAUGACAUGCUGGUAGGUAGUAUGACUUGUAUCGCCCACAACUCACUUGUGUUCUACUCGUGCAAAACAUCAAACCAUAAAAAACCUAGGCUCGGAUGCCACUGUUGGGGAACGUAGUAAUUUCAAAAAAUUUCCUACGCACACGCAAGAUCAUGGUGAUGUAUAGCAACGAGAGGGGAGAGUGUUGUCUACGUACCCUCGUAGACCGAAGCGGAAGCGAUCACAACGUAGAGGAAGUAGUCGUACGUUCUCCUCGCGAUCCGACCGAUCCCGGCGUCGUUACUCCGGCGCCCCCGAGUUCUUGACACACGUACAGCUCGAUGACGCUCCUCGGGCUCCAAUCCAGUAGAGCUUCGGGGAGGGAGAGUUUUGUCAGCACGACGGCGUGGUGACGAUCUUGAUGUACUACCGGCGCAGGGCUUCGCCUAAGCUUUGCGACGAUAUGACCGAGGUGGAAUAUGGUGGAGGGGGGCACCGCACACGGCUAAGGAACGAUCCGUAGAUCAAACUUGUGUGUCCUAGGGUGCCCCCUGCCCCCGUAUAUAAAGGAGCAAGGGGGGGGGGGGUGCGGCCGGCCCUAGAGGAGGCGCGCCGGAGGAGUCCUACUCCCACCGGGAGUAGGACUCCCCCCCCCCUUUCCUAGUUGGAGUAGGAUUGGGGGAGGGGAAGAGGGAAGGGGGGGCGCCGCCCCCCUCUCCUUGUCCUAUUCGGACUAGGGGGGGAGGGGCGCGCGGCCUGCCCUGGCCGACCCUUCCUCUUCUCCCUCGUGGCCCACUAAGGCCCAAUAGCCCCCGGGAGGGUUCCGGUAACCCCCCGGUGUUCCGGUAAAAUCCCGAUUUCACCCGGAACCAUUCCGAACUCCAAAUAUAGGCUUCCAAUAUAUCAAUCUUUAUGUCUCGACCAUUUCGAGACUCCUCGUCAUGUCCGUGAUCACAUCCGGGACUCCGAACUUCUUCGGUACAUCAAAAUACACAAACUCAUAAUAUAACCGUCAUCGAAACCUUAAGCGUGCGGACCCUACGGUUCGAGAACAAUGUAGACAUGACCGAGACACGUCUCCGGUCAAUAACCAAUAGCGGGACCUGGAUGCCCAUAUUGGUUCCUACAUAUUCUACGAAGAUCUUUAUCGGUCAGACCGCAUAACCACAUACGUUGUUCCCUUUGUCAUCGGUAUGUUACUUGCCCGAGAUUCGAUCGUAGGUAUCCAAUACCUAGUUCAAUCUCGUUACCGGCAAGUCUCUUUACUCGUUUCGUAAUACAUCAUCUCACAGCUAACUCAUUAGUUGUAAUGCUUGCAAGGCUUCAGUGAUGUGUAUUACCGAGAGGGCCCAGAGAUACCUCUCCGACAAUCGGAGUGACAAAACCUAAUCUCGAAAUACGCCAACCCAACAUCUGCCUUUGGAGACACCUGUAGUACUCCUUUAUAAUCACCCAGUUACGUUGUGACUUUGGUAGCACCCAAAGUGUUCCUCCGGUAAACGGGAGUUGCAUAAUCUCAUAGUUACAGGAACAUGUAUAUGUCAUGGAUAAAAGCAGUAGCAACAUACUAAACGAUCGUGUGCUAAGCUAAUGGAAUGGGUCAUGUCAAUCAGAUCAUUCUACUAAUGAUGUGACCUUGUUAAUCAAAUAACAACUCUUUGUUCAUGGUUAGGAAACAUAACCAUCUUUGAUUAACAAGCUAGUCUAGUAGAGGCAUACUAGUGACAUAUUGUUUGUCUAUGCAUUCACACAUGUAUCAUGUUUCCGGUUAAUACAAUUCUAGCAUGAAUGAUAAACAUUUAUCAUGAAAUAAGGAAAUAAAUAAUAACUUUAUUAUUGCCUCUAGGGCAUAUUUCCUUCAGCC